Molecule: ribosomal RNA, 467 nt
Filed under: uncultured bacterium
Lineage: Bacteria
Description: bacterial SSU rRNA
Rfam family: Bacterial small subunit ribosomal RNA
Source: RNAcentral
AUGAACGUUGGCGGCGUGGAUUAGGCAUGCAAGUCGAGCGGAAAGGCCCCGCAAGGGGUACUCGAGCGGCGUAAGGGAGAGUAACGCGUGGUUUAUCUACCCUCAGGCCCGGGAUAGCUGCGGGAAACCGCAAUUAAUACCGGAUAACAUCUCCGGAUCAAAGGUGUGAUUCCGCCUGUGGAUGAGACCGCGUCCUAUUAGCUAGUUGGUAGGGUAAUGGCCUACCAAGGCGAUGAUGGGUACUGGGUGUGAGAGCAUGACCCAGCUCACUGGGACUGAGACACUGCCCAGACACCUACGGGUGGCUGCAGUCGAGGAUCUUCGGCAAUGGGCGCAAGCCUGACCGAGCGACGCCGCGUGUGGGAUGAAGGCCUUCGGGUUGUAAACCACUGUCAGAGGGGAUGAAAUACAUGAGGGUACUCUCUCAUGUUUGACAUAUCCUCAGAGGAAGGACGGGCUAAGUUCGU